GCUUGUGCCCCAGCUCUGCUCUUCUGAGAUGGGUUAUGUAUCAAGUUAUUGGAACCGCUGCAGUGCCUGUGGAAAAAAAAAAAAAGAAAAAGAGAUCACGUUCUUUGUCCUAACAGCCAGACACAGACUAUCAGUGAAGCCUGCACACGGCCCCUCAGACCAGGCUGCCACUGGGCACAUUGGUCAGACCUCCAGUAAAAAAAUGUAUGUUUUGAUUUGCCCGGUAAAUGCGUGUAUACAAAAGUCAUAUGUGUUAGAGUGUGUCUGUCUGCAGUGUGUGUGGUGAGGGUUGUCGUGACUUGCUUGUGCGUGUGCCAGUCAAUUGUAAGUGCACAACAGCCCUCCAUUUUAGAAAUAUAGGUUAAGUAUAUAGUGUGACACAGUUAUGUAAGCGAUGUCGGAAUGGGCAGGUAAUGCGAUCCUCGCCGGGUUUGUUUUGGCCAGAAAAAGACCUUGCGAUCCUCGCCGGGUUUGUUUUGGCCAGAUAAAGACCUUGCGAUCCUCCCCGGGUUUGUUUUGGCCAGAUAAAGACCUAGCCAAAUGUGUCUUUUCCACUUAUACUCCUCACUGCAGCCCCAGUGGGCUAAGAGAGUGCGGAGCGACUCCUCAGUCCGGAAAUUAGGCUCGUUCUAAUCACACUCCUUAUCAGUGUUCUGUAACCACCCGCCUGCCUCCCUCUUAACCCCCCCACCCCAGAUAACACUCAUUGUUGUAGUCAACGUUAUCCUGUCUAUGGCACGGCGGGGGCCAGAGGCAUAGACAGGUCUGUGUGUGGAGUGACUGCAGAGAUGGUAAUCGGUGGGUGACGCUGAAGCCAGAGUCUCGCUGGUGCAGUGGGGGGGUCUGUGCAGGGCCAGGCAAGGCUGAAUCGGGUGACCAGGCAAGUAGUUUAUCUCAGGACAGGAAAGGACAGGACAGGACAGUGUCCUUAUGUGCAUGCUCGCUCAUUUCAAAUCUUUCCUAUUAUAUGCUAUUCUUUCAGUUCAGGUCUUCAAUGGGAGGAAAUAGAAAGAUGUAUUUUCAAUGAUUCAUCAGAGCCUUAAAUCUUCUGUCAUAGACCCGCUCUAAUGAAUUUGAGUGAUGUUUAUCCACAUUCUUAAUCUUUAUAAACAUCUAGAUAGUCACUCUCCACAACAACUCAGCAGAAGUCAUAGUUCUACUUGUUUUCUGGUUUUAUCCACAAGGAAAUGACAUCUUCACUAUAGUGAUGGUUUGGGUUGAUUACCCUUGCUUGAUCUCUGUUAUUGUGCAAAUUCUUUAAAACAGCAGCAAGGGCUUCUAGUCUAAAGCCUCUGAACUAACUAUCUAAAUGGCAUGCAAAAACCUUGGGAAGACCAACCAACAACAGCCAAGAUGUCACUGAUAAAACUGGCUAGCCUGCUAACUGGUAUCUUCUGUAGUUGGCAGUGUCGUGCUGUGAACGCUUUUCCCAAUCUGGAUCACAGAGUUACGUAGUGCGUAGCCUGGAUGGCUAGUGGGGACAGCAGGUGUGUGUAUCUGUGCUUCACAUGACCUUUGAAGGUGGUGCCAAAACUAGUUGCCUAUAUACAAACAUACUUCCAAAGUAGCAAAUUACUGCAUAGUGUUGUUUUAAUGUCCCCACCUCCCAACAUUAAAAACAAACAUGCAUUUAGGCAAAUAGUUGCUUUCCUGGUGAGUUGGAUAAUAUACACAUAAUGAUAAUUGCAGAUAAGAAAAAUGUUCUGCUGUCUUUACUUUGAAAGGUCGGGAUGGUUAUUCAUGACUGGCCACUUUUGUGCUGGUGCUUCAUUUCCUCUCUAGCUAAAACUGCAACUCAGUGGAAUUAGAUUAUGGGAUGACAGCAAUUUGUAGCAAUUUAGCAGCAGAUUUGCCACUACUGCUUGUUUACAUAAGCACAUACAAGAGUGUUUUUGGAUUGAUGGUUAUCUGUCGUAUCAUGUGUCUUCAUUUACCUGUUGAAUGCCAGGUGCAGGAAACGGUGUCCAAUUGUGAAAGACUUGAGUUAGUCCUCAGGGCAGAAGUGGGGGUUCAAAAACAUGAAGACAACUUCUCAAGUCCCGUAUCUUUUGAAAUACUUGUAUAUGUCCUAGUUACACUUUGUCCAAUUUGUCCAAAGUGUUUCUGAAAGCCUCUGAAAAAAAUAUGUCCAUAAACUGUAAACCUUUGACCUAGAAGUACGACAUUAGAUGGUCCGACUUCGCUAUCGAGCUCAGCAGCUCUACAGACACAGAUCCUCGCCAGUGGUGUCCAGUGAGCGCCACACAAAGGUGUUCUUCACGUCAGUGGUCAGUGGUGUCCAGUGAGUAGCACACAAAGGUGUUCUUCACGUUCUCUCCCUCUGUGUCUGUCAUUGUGACCAGGCUUAAGUAAGGACGGCUAAAGGAAGCCUGCUUCGGAGUGUCUGUUCUUUGGCUUGAGUGAUUGAAGCCCAUGAGUCUAUAGUGCAGCCCUGCCAACAAGCACCGGCUUAUGUGUCAUUAAAUGGACUGUUGAGCAGUUGAUUCUGAAAGCGAGCCAGACUGUCAUUGUUUAGAGGCAGAGAGGUACUGUACGAGGGGUUUUCAGUGCUUUUCUGUAGACGUGCACUUGGUAUUAGAUGCCAAGGCUUUAGCGGGGAUAAGGCUAAGACAGUGUGCGUGUAAAAUAAAUAAAUUACAUUAAAUAAAAUCAGGUCAGGGAUUUGUCUCAGUUGGAACGAAUGAGACGCCCACCCACUGCAAUGAAUACGCUAUUGUUGAAUCUUUACAAAAGUGUCUCCUGGAAGAGGAGGUGAGAUGUUGUGCUUGGUGGGAGAAAAAGAGGUGUUGGGUUGAGAAAAAGGGGUAAAAAGACGAGAUCAGAUAACAGAGUGUUUUUCUUGCUGUUGUUGGCAAGUGUGACACUAUGGUAAAAAAGGAAACCAUGUAAACUGUUGGAAUAACUGGAGAAUAAUGUGUGAGAUACUAAGCGGGAGAAAGAAAAUAAACCGUUCAUAACUGCAAAAUAAAAGACAAAUCAAUCAGUGCUUUUUGUUGCAGCAGCAAAGCAUGCUGGGAAAACAAAUGGAUGCGCCAUUGCUAUAGACUAGAGGAUGUCUGGAUCCUGCCAGAACCCUUCUAAGGUUGUGUGGGAGACAGGAGGCAUCUGCCCAGACCAGCCCUUUUCCGUGGGUGAGGCGGAGGUGCCAGGAUUGCUGAAUGGGCGGCCAUCUGGGUGAGCUCACGUUCUGGCUACGGCUGAAUCCCCUCCGGCCAGCUCUGUGGGCUUCCUCCGCGGCCAAGGUCAGGGGUUCAGGCCAAGGUCAGGGGGUCAGGGGUUCAGGUCACAGCCAUGGCACUGCCACUGGAGGGGGCGGUCUCUGCUUAUAGAAGGGAAGGAGGGCAGUUUUACGCAAAGACGGAAGAAGACAGAGUUCAUUCAUCAUGCUAUUAAACUUC
Molecule: long non-coding RNA, 3398 nt
Organism: Clupea harengus (Atlantic herring)
Lineage: Eukaryota; Metazoa; Chordata; Actinopteri; Clupeiformes; Clupeidae
Source: Ensembl